RNAcentral lists this long non-coding RNA (871 nucleotides) under Marmota monax (woodchuck). Lineage: Eukaryota; Metazoa; Chordata; Mammalia; Rodentia; Sciuridae. The record is from RNAcentral.
CUCAGCAUCACCUCAGUGAACCAAGGCUGUUUUUAUAAAGAAGGUCAUGGUUAACGUUCCCUGACUCUAAAGACCCUGAUGGAGAUUUGAGAGGCAAUUAUUUCCUGAAUCUUAUUAACUUUAAAGUGGCUGAAGGCUUUCUUAGUUGAGAACCAAAUAAAAAAAUUACUUGGACCGUGUUUUGCAAUAAUGAAGGGAAGCAAGAAAAGUGAGUUUCAUCAGCUGUGCAGAAGUCAUUUCCUCUGCCCUCUCACUUUGACCUCUGACCGCAGCAGCCACCAGGUUAAGGUUUAUAAUCAGAAGCUUAUCAAACCAGGGGUCGGGGCAUGCUCACUAGGACGUCCAGUUCUCCACCAUCAGUGAGACCUUGUUCUCACUUCUCUCUGUUCCCUGUUUAUUUAAGUGUCACGUUUAUAGUCCUACUGAUAAAUGUGUUUUCUUUCCAAGAUAGCUUUCCCUAAAACCUGGCAUUAUUCUGCAGGCAUGGGGGCAUAAGAAAUAAGAGAUCAAAUUUGCACCACCUGACACUUCUUUGGGGCUGUAAUCAUCAGGAGCUUCAGAGUCUUUGAUAAAGAACUCUCCUUUAUCACCCAGAAGAGACAAAUCUAAACUGUAUCGAGUUUUCAUUUUAAAAGUUGAAGAAACUAUUGUGGCAGAAAAUAAUUCUCUUUAAAGGCAUAAACACCCCAGAUGAAACAGGGUGGAAAUUAUGCUUGGUGUAUAAAGAAAGCAUUUUCCACUGAUUCAUGCCUUCACUUCAAAUAGAAUCUUCAAAUUCAUAGAUACCACACAUUGCUUCUGAGCUUUGAGUGGUUGUCUUAAGAAUAAUUGUACUUCUGAGUAGAUGAGCAAUAAACACCAUAAAAUGUUU